Molecule: unclassified non-coding RNA, 345 nt
Filed under: soil metagenome
Description: partial contains 5.8S ribosomal RNA, internal transcribed spacer 2, and large subunit ribosomal RNA
Rfam family: 5.8S ribosomal RNA (bases 1-119)
Source: RNAcentral
GAUGAAGAACGUAGCGAAAUGCGAUACGUAAUGUGAAUUGCAAAUUCAGUGAAUCAUCGAGUCUUUGAACGCACAUUGCGCCCCCUGGUAUUCCGGGGGGCAUGCCUGUCCGAGCGUCAUUGCUGCCCUCAAGCACGGCUUGUGUGUUGGGCCCCGUCCUCCGAUUCCGGGGGGCGGGCCCGAAAGGCAGCGGCGGCACCGCGUCCGGUCCUCGAGCGUAUGGGGCUUUGUCACCCGCUCUGUAGGCCCGGCCGGCGCUUGCCGAUCAACCCAAAUUUUUAUCCAGGUUGACCUCGGAUCAGGUAGGGAUACCCGCUGAACUUAAGCAUAUCAAUAAGCGGAGGA